RNAcentral lists this transfer RNA (64 nucleotides) under Polycera hedgpethi. RNAcentral describes it as "tRNA-Leu". The record is from RNAcentral. Lineage: Eukaryota; Metazoa; Mollusca; Gastropoda; Nudibranchia; Polyceridae.
UGUGAAAUGGCAGAAAAAUGCCUAAACUUUAAGCGUUUAUCAUGACCAACCAGGUCUUUCACAA